This 13658-nucleotide unclassified non-coding RNA is filed under the name Haliotis rufescens (red abalone). RNAcentral describes it as "phospholipid-transporting ATPase ID-like, transcript variant X3". The record is from RNAcentral. Lineage: Eukaryota; Metazoa; Mollusca; Gastropoda; Lepetellida; Haliotidae.
UCCUCAUCAUUUCCGUGUUGAUUUGCAUACAAAGAUGGCGACAUGCUACGUUUUCGUGUGUGGGACAUAUAGGAUAGUACUUUUCUCUGUGCUUGAGUGGGAGCUACUGACAUGUUGAUACGGAAAACCCCCUAGGCGCUGCUCAUCCAACAAGAUUCACCAUGAAGCCAUGCUGGAAGAAAGAACGGCCCCCGGAAAUUGAAAGAAGAAUAAAAGCCAAUGACACAGAAUACAAUGCUCAAUUUGAAUAUGCAAACAACUACAUUUCCACGUCCAAGUACAAUGUGCUUACAUUCCUGCCCAAGAACCUGUUCGAGCAGUUCCAGCGCCUGGCCAACGCCUACUUCCUGGGUCUGCUUAUCAUGCAGUUUAUUCCAGCUGUAACAUCACUUAGUCCUGUGACCACCAUCAUUCCAUUGGUGUUCGUGCUCACGGUGUCGGCCAUCAAGGAUGCAAUCGAUGAUUUCAAACGUCAUCGGAGCGAUGCACAGGUAAACAACAGGAAGUCAGAUGUAUUGCGAGAUGGCAAAAUCGUAUCGGCACGAUGGCACACCGUUGUUGUGGGCGACAUCAUACGACUCAGAAACAAUGACUUUGUUGCUGCUGACUUCAUGCUGCUGUCCACCAGUGAACCCAACAGUUUAUGCUACAUUGAGACUGCCGAGUUGGAUGGGGAGACCAAUCUUAAGGUGAAACAGGCCUUGCCAGAGACUGCGGUCAUUGGAGACGAUCAUCCAAAGAUGUCACAGUUUAAUGCGGAGAUAAUCUGUGAAGCUCCGAACAUCCGCCUGAGCAAGUUUGAGGGCAAGUUGACGUGGAAGGGAGAGACCUACUCCCUGGACAACGACAAGGUGGUGCUGAGGGGAUGUGUCUUGCGGAACACCCAGUGGUGCUACGGACUCGUCGUCUUCGCCGGACAUGACUCAAAGCUCAUGAUGAACAGCGGCAAGACAGUGUUCAAGAGAACCCACAUCGACCGACUCAUGAAUAUCCUCAUUGUUGGAAUAUUCCUGUUCCUCUUGACCAUGUGCCUCGUGACCACCAUUGCUUGUGGUGUCUGGGAGAGCGUGGUCGGCUUUGACUUCCAAUUGUAUCUGCCAUGGGAGACCUUUGUGAAUGACGACAAGGAGCAGGGUGCUGCAACAAUUGCUGUGCUGGUGUUUCUAUCUUACCUCAUCAUCCUCAACACUGUCGUACCCAUCUCCCUGUAUGUCAGUGUGGAGAUAAUCCGGCUAGUCAACAGCUUGUGGAUCAACUGGGAUGUCAAGAUGUACUUUGACAAGAAGGACACCCCUGCCAAAGCUCGGACCACAACCCUUAAUGAGGAGCUAGGACAGAUUGAAUACAUUUUUUCUGACAAGACAGGAACUCUCACACAGAACAUCAUGACAUUCAACAAGGCAUCUAUAGGUGGGAAAUCUUACGGAGACCCGCUGGACAACGAAGGCAACCCUCAGGACAUCACAGAGAGAACUCCCAAAGUAGAUUUCAGUGGGAAUGAAUAUGCAGAGAAGUCAUUUGAUUUUUACGACUCGCGUCUGCUGGAGCACACCAAGGGAGGCAACCACCAGGUGGAGGAGUUCUUCAGACUGCUGAGUCUGUGUCAUACAGUCAUGCCGGAGACCAAGGAGAGUGGUAACCUGGAGUACCAGGCUCAGUCCCCUGAUGAAGGUGCUCUGGUGUCAGCUGCACGGAAUUUUGGUUAUGUCUUCAAGUCUCGGACACCAAACACCAUCACAAUAGAAGUCCAGGGCAAACAGGAAGUGUACGAUCUGCUGUGCAUUCUGGACUUCAACAACUUCCGUAAGAGGAUGUCGGUGAUCGUGAAGAAGGACGGUGUCAUCACGCUGUACUGUAAGGGGGCUGACUCAGUCAUAUUCGAGCGUUUGGACAGAUCCUGUGCUGAACUGAAGGAAAUUACUUCACACCACCUUAAUGAGUUUGCUCAGAUAGGUCUGAGGACGCUGUGCUGUGCAUCCAAGGUCAUCGACGAAAACUUUUAUGUGGAAUGGAGGAAGAAAUAUCAUGAAGCCAGUACAACCUUGGACAACAGAGAUGACAAGAUGGAUGAUGUAUUCGAGGAGAUUGAGCAGAACCUGUGUCUCAUUGGUGCCUCGGCCAUUGAGGAUAAACUACAGGACGGUGUGCCAGAGACCAUUGCCAACCUGGCCUUGGCUGGCAUCAAGAUCUGGGUCCUCACUGGAGACAAACAGGAGACGGCCAUCAAUAUUGGUUACUCUUGCCGCCUGUUGACGGAGGAGAUGGAGGAGCCAUUCAUCAUUGAUGCCGACUCCUUCGAGGAGGUGGAAGCCCAGCUGCGGAAGGCCCUGGAAGACAUUGACAAGAUGAAGACCGGCAAGCCAAACGACGGAGUCAUCAUCGCCAACGGCCAGGGAGCCCACUAUAACGGAGCCAAUGGAAAUGUUGCCAUCUCGGAUGAAUAUGGGGAAUUUGCAGUGGUCAUAAAUGGUCACAGUCUGGCGUAUGCCCUAAAGCCGGAGCUGGAGAGGUUGCUGCUGGACCUGGGGUCAAGCUGCAAGGCCGUCAUCUGCUGCAGGGUCACGCCGCUCCAGAAGGCCCUCGUGGUCGACCUGGUCAAGAAACACAAGAAAUCAGUGACGCUUGCAAUAGGAGAUGGGGCUAAUGAUGUCAGCAUGAUCAAAAUGGCACACAUCGGUGUCGGCAUCAGUGGUCAAGAGGGCAUGCAGGCCGUGUUGGCCAGUGAUUUCUCCAUGGCUCAGUUCCGCUACUUGGAAAGGUUGCUGCUCGUCCAUGGCCGUUGGUCCUACCUCAGAAUGUGCAAAUUUCUGCGAUAUUUCUUUUACAAAAACUUUGCAUUCACAUUGUGCCAUUUCUGGUAUGCCUUCUUUUGUGGCUUCUCCGCUCAGACGUUGUACGACCCCUACUUCAUUUCCUUGUACAACUUGUUCUACACAUCGCUCCCCAUCCUGGUCCUCGGUAUCUUCGACCAGGAUGUGAAUGACGACUACUCCAUCCGCUACCCGAAGCUGUACGCCCCGGGGCUGAAAGACGCACUCUUCAACAAGAAGACAUUUAUGUACAGUACCCUGGAAGGCAUCAUUACCUCCCUUGUGUUGUUCUUUAUACCAUAUGGUGCCUUCAACUACGCCAUCGGUCCAGAUGGCAAGUCAGAAGUGGACCAGCAGUCCUUCGGCUGUGUCGUGUCCUCCAUCCUCGUCGUUGCUGUCAAUGUCAGGUGUGCACUUGACACUUCGUACUGGACCGGGUUCAACCACUUCGUGGUAUGGGGCAGCAUCAUCUACUAUUUCUGCUUCAUCCUCGCCUUCUACUCCGAAGGCAUCAACUACUCAUAUGUGGGUGUGGCCUUCGAGGUGUUCUCCUCCGCCCAGUUCUGGUUCAGCCUCCUUCUGACUUGUACAGUGCUCAUAGUGCCUGUCGUGGCCUACCGGUUCUACCAGACGAACAUUACUCCAUCCCUUGCUGAUAGGGUGCGGCUACGACAGCGAAUCAAGAAGGUUAAGUCACGAUCACGUGACCUUCAUGUGCGAAGACAAUCCACAAUGCGUCGAAGCACAAGGUCACUACGGUCAGGCUAUGCGUUUGCUCACCAAGAGGGCUUUGGCAAUCUUAUUACCAGUGGUAUAAACAUGCGAGAACGGGCUAUAGAGCGGAAAAAGGAACCAGUCACGCUAACAAAGAUAACUCGCCAUGACAGUCAUAAGGCUGCUGGAGCCUCUGGAAAUGGAGUAUCUGAUAACAUUAUCUUCGUGGAAAGGUUGUGAUAUCCUUCAUGACAAGAACAAUAUUUUUAGAUGACAUUUGCCUUGAUGUAUAUAUUUGACUGUGCACUGGUUAAUUGAUAAUGAUUGGUUCUUGGAGUUGGUGCUUCAUGUAAGACAUAUGUUGGAAUUAUAUAUAUAUAUGCAGGAGUAGUUGUCUCCCUUUGGCUCCCACUCCAAAAGACGACUAUAUAUGGGUGAUUAAGGAGGAUUAAAUUGACAAACUCAAUAACAUUCAUCAAUAUUUUUUACCUACAUUUUACGAUAGACGUUAUCAAUGUAUUUUUCCUGUUCAUGACCACAUUAAUAGUUCUGCAGAGAAUUGAAGGGAGAUAACUCUGGAAACUUAUAUGUUCAAGGACCAACCACAUUUUAGUAUAUGACGAUGACGUAUGAAGCAGCUGGUUCAUUUUGAGACGCAGUGUUGACAGUGAUGGAUGGAUACAUUCAUCACCUGUCUGCAAGUGAUACUGUGAAAUGUGCACAGACGAAACCCAGGGUUUAUUCACAAGCAGUGCAUAAUGACACAGUGUACAUAUCAUACUCUUUACAUAUGUCAAUAGCAGAGAGAUGUAUUUAAUUGUAAAUAAUAUAAUUUUACCAAAACAUAAUGUUGAUCAUAAUCAUUUUUAUGUAUGAUCUGGUUUCAAACCACAUGAUGUUUCAAUGAUGUUUUCUCAUGUACCACAUGAAAUCAGUGAUAAUGUUAAAUUUGUUGAAAAUAAACGAAAGCAAGCUAUGGUUGCUUAAUGUUAGAGAAUAAAUUGCACUCUAAGUGUUUUCGAAAAUAUAGAUGCUUAAAGGCAGCAGCAAUCUUAUAUGACAUGUAAGUGUUGGUGAUUGUAUUCCUUGUGGCUGUUGAAAUGUUUAAGUUGUGUAUUCAAGUUUUUGCUGUCUGCUGAGCGUCUCCAUCUUCUUCACUCCAGAUUCCAUCAAUUUCCAUCGGACGUUAUGUCCAAGCACUCCAUCAGUAAGGCAUAUAAUGUGUGUAUGAUUAUGCCAAAAUAAUGUUCUACUUCUAAUGCAUAUUAUUGUUAUAUGUUUUUGUAUUCCGGAUGUAACUGGAAACUAUUGGCUUUUAACAAUUUGAUAAUCCUUCAGUUUUGGUGUUAACAUGCAUACUCAACCGAAAUGCUGCUUCUGUUACACUUUCUUUGGAGGGCGGAUCUUAAAUUUUGAAAAAUGUGAAGUAAAAUAAAAAUCAGAUACUUUUUAGGGGUAUUUUUGUAAUCCCCAAGAGAACAGGUAUGAACUGACUGAACCCCCCCCCCCCCCCCCGAAUCCACCUGUAGAUACACCUGUUGACUCGGCUUGCGUUAGACAAGAUGGCUGCACAAGAUGGUGGCCAGUUUCAAUAAUGCCCUCACACAGUUGCUGUGUUCUGUGUAACCUUGAGUCUGUGUCUAAACAUAGUGAGGGUCAUCAUUUAGGUACUUAUAUUCCGAGUACAUCAAACUGACCUGGCUCAAGGCUGCCUCCUGACCUGAAACCAGCCAUCGUUUGUCAAACUGACCACUACAUGAUCAAACAGAGGUACUGUUAAAAGCUGCAUGGAAAACAACUAUCAUCUUCAUAAAUCUCAUUCAAAAUGCUUUCUCUGAAGACCAUACCAUUUGCAGGAUUUCAGGAACUUGUUAUCUUCUAGUACUUGAAAUUGUCAAUAAAAGCUAAGUAAAGAUAGAAAAAUGGAUGGUUAAUUGAUUAUUGAUAAACUGAGCUAGAAUGUAGGCAGUAGGUAACUUAGAUGCAGAGUGGCAGUAUUAUUAUGUGGAGAACCGGCAUCUACCAUUGUAAUAGCUGGUAGUCUGAUAUAUACUUCUAAAAAAGGUUAAGGACUCCCCGAUUCUUUCAUAUUACUAUAGUUCAUCUGUCAUGGGAUUGGGUGGUCCUUAACUUGUUUUAAAAGUAUUGAACAGUACCGGUAAUCAGUACUCAACUGUGUGGACAUGUAUAUUAUGAACAAUCACAUCACUUGCACAAUGCAUUUGAUUUUUAACUAGGUGUUUAACAUUUAGCAACUGUGUAAUUGUCAUAAUGUGCUAUUCAGUUGUUAACAACUGGAUAUUUUUUUAGGCUUGAUCUCUUCAGAAUGCAACUAAUUUUUUUAAUAAUCAUUUCUGUAUGUUUGAGAGAAACAAAUUCAUAUUUUCUUUAUUCCUUGCAUAUCACAGGAGCAGUGAUAGCUUCAGUUCACAUCCGAGUGUUACUAAGAAGUGUUGAUUGCCAUGGCUACGAAGAAAACUUUUAUAGUUGUAAUAUAACACUUGCUUUUGGAAACAAACCAGCUACCUAUGAUAAACAUUUCUCAAAAAAUAUCAACAUAUCUUUUAUUGUUUUUUUGUGUGUAAAUGUUUCCUUAUUUUAUAACAGUGUGAAAUUUGCUUUGAAUAUUGUUGUUGAGAGUGACCUCCCCUUAUCUACAAUGUCAAUUUAGUUUUUUAGUUAUUUUGUAACGUGUUGUACUAGGGUUUGGGUCAAGACUUGUUGCCAAGCACCCACACCACUGUUAGGUCACCUAAUAUAUAGCAACUAUAUACACGUUUAAUGUCCGAGUAAGAUGAUGGCAAGUUAAUAAUGAAGCAUUAAAAUGUUUUGUGGCAAGAGUCUAAAAAGACCUACACACCCCAAAAAUUCAAACAAAUGUUGACGGUAUGACCCUGUGGCUAACAUUAUUCAUUUCACCGUGUCUGGGUAGGUCACAGUCUAACCAGGAUGUCGGACCUCUUGUUCCCCGACCGCCCAUAACCCUGAUGUAUCAGUGAAUUCUUCUACACUUGAUAAGUGCCAAAUCACUAUGACUUAACAUGAAUGUUAAUAUUGCCUAGGAUUGUGAAUAAAACAGAAAAUAACAAUCCUUUUUUUUAUAAAAAAAUUGUUUUUUCGUGAGUUGCAUUUUUUUAAAUUGGGGAAAGAAAUACAAUAUAAAUUGAUAGAUUUAUUUUAAUUAUUUGUUUUUUCUGCAUCAUUGUGGAAGCUGAGGUGUAACUUUGUCAAUGUGUUUAUUUCAUGUAUUCACUUAGCUUCCUACUUUCAUUGAACUAUGUAAGGGACUAUUGUUUUUGUUUAAUGCUGGAAGCAUCUUAUAGGAUUUCAAAUGAACUUUUGCAAAGUUUUAUAAAAUUUCUGGGAAUGUUGUUUUCUAUUUCAUUCACAUCCAUAUUUGUACAUAUAUUGUCAUGACUUUACAGGCGAGAGCUACAAGGUAGUCACAUGUUUAUGUGUGUAUACCGGUGUAUCACUGUGGGUUAUCAUGGAUUUUAUGUUUAUGUGUGUAUAUAUCACUGUGGGCAGUCUUGUAGUUGUAUGUGUGAUGUGUCAAUACACCACUGUGGGUUGUCACGGAAUGUAAUCCACGUCACUUCUCCCAGUAGAAACAGGAAGCGUAGUCUAUGUGCAUAAUGACUUGGAUAUAUGACUCCAUUGUGUGGUAAUAGUAUUCACACGUUACAGUAGGCCUCUGAAGGAUUCUUCAUGCUCAUAUCAGUGGUCCUUAGCUGAUACUUCAUAUUUGUUUCAUAAGAAAACCUCGGACAUUAUUUGUGCUAAUCAGCAGUUAUAAGUUGGCAAAAAUCACACAUAAUUUGAAUAUCUUAUACUAUCCAUGUCUUGAGAGCAAUAUGAAUUAUAUUUUAUAAAUUGAACUGAGGUAAAUCAGAGGACAUAUAUCGGUAUAUGGUCACUGGGUAAAUUAUUAAAAAAUGUUUCCGUUAAUUCUUUGAAAGUUACCAAUCUUUAUCAUGCUUGAGAAUAUUUGAAGACAUCAUUCAUGCUGUCACCAAUCGCACCUGUUGGCGUACAUUUCAUUGAAGGAAAUAGAAGAUAUAACAGCCAUUUCUACAAGAUGAAUUAUCAUUUGAAUUCAGUUUAAAUGUACAUUUACUGUACAUAGAUUUGUUGUUCUGUACAUAGAUAUUGGGAACGCCAUCUUUCAACAAGGAAUGUUUAAGCGUUGAUCUAUGUACAUUGUGAAGCUAGACCGAUCCAGGUCAUGUUACACGUAUCCAGUGAUUGUGUUGAUUUCAAAUGAUUCAUAUGCAAAUUAUAUGUACUAUUUACACACUGUUAUCAUAUUGAUGAAACUAUUUUUAAACUAUUUUGUCAUCCUCAGUGUGAUACAGAAUAUGUAAAUAUUUUCAUGUGAAUUAAGAAAUGUGUUGCCAUGGCUGCAUCGUUUCCAUGGUGACCUAUAUAAAUAUAUAUAUAUUUUGUUUGUAUAUUAUACACCCUUGUUUCUUUCAGCCAACUCUAAACGUCCUAUUCCAACUGAAGCCUGUUCUUGUAAACACUCUUAAGGGGUAUGUUUGCACGAAUAAAUAGUCAUAAUAAUUCCAAUGACUGAAUGCAACUAAAUCAUCAUGUGAUUUUGAAAUACUAAGUGCAAUUUUGGUGCAGCUGGAAAUUUCGUGGUGUAUAUGUUGUGCUGAUGUAAGAAGUAAGAAUUUUGUGAAUAGUAUUUCUAGUAUGUCAUAAUAAGGAGAAUGACUUUUUGAACAUGGUGAUACAUAAUAAGGACAACAUUUAUUGUAGAGAUGUGAUGGUUGCCUGUCAAUUGUUGAACUGCUUACAAGGGCCUUGGUUUGGCUGAACAUGUGCUUGAUAAGCAGACACACGUACUCUUGCCACAGAGUGGUGUGAACAUUGACGUCUGUCUGUCUGUGUGUGUUACUCUGUGACAACUGAACUUGCUCCCUUUGUGUUCACAGUAUAAAUAUUCUCUAUAUCAUGCUAUGUUUAUGGAGCAUUGCGCAUUCUUUUGUAAUGAUUAACACCUUUGCUUAUCAGUUUGACCUUCAGCAAAUGCAUAUCUCCCUGAUGCCUACCCCUAGUCAGAUGUCCUAGACAUAAGAAUAGCACAUGAACUGACUACCUGACAAGUAAUUCUACCUCCACAACCCUGUAAUCUGGAACUUUACCCUAACUUUAUGAUUGACCUUUACCUUAACCACUGACCUUGGCUCGAACACUAUCACUAACCUUGACAUUACCAUUAAUCUCAUUGCUGACCUUGGCUCGAACACUAUCACUAACCUUGACCCUUACCAUUAAUUUCAUCACUGACCUUGACCCUUACACUAAGACUCAACCCUGACCUUUACUUCAACUGAAACUGACCCUGAUUCUAUCUCCACUUCUGAAGUGAACAUUAGUCAAGCCAAAUCCUGCUCCUCACCUCUCUGCUAACUCAUCCAUACAUUGAGUGACAAUUACGACUACACACACGCCAUCACCCCGACUCCUCCAUCCUCAUGUGGGAUAUGUACUUCGUAUCUACGUGGUGAGUUCUGGUUAUUUCCAUUGAAGAUGUAUGCAGCUAUCAUAACUAGGUUCAUCACACUUGAGGUGCAAGUCUACAAGUAGCAUAUACUGAAAAUUGUGUGCUCACUACAAAAGAAUUUCCAAAAAUCUAUUCACGAUCCCUAGCAUUUUUUCGUUCAGUAUAUAUACAUACCAGAGGCCGUCCUUUUUUGGCAUGGUGUACACCCUCGCCUGUCUGUCAUUGCUAGUUAUCAGUCACCACGAACACCAUCCUAUUUCAUAGAUAGCAGAACUCACAUCCAAUAUUCUUGUUCAGGUUACAGAAGGUCAAGCUGGUUGCUGUGAAUACACAAUGCCAUUUAGAAAGUGGUCAGAUGUAACAAAUGUUAUAUUUGGGAUAACACUUUCUUAGUAAAGUACAGAUUCUCGUACUUUUUUGGGGUUGAGUCCAGUCUGGGAUUCGAUCCCACACUUGCCAGAGUGAGGCACCUAAUCGCCAGCACACAAAGUCAGCGAUCUAACCCACUCAGCCACUGAGGCUUCCACAAAAAUGAAAGUCCGACAACUGGUAGUCUAGAUCACGUACUUUGAGUACCCCUCUGACAAGUGUAAAUUGGCACGCUAUGAAUACACAAUGCCUGAGAAUACAAAAGUACGAGAAUCUGUACUUUACUAAGAAAGUGUUAUCCCAAAUAUAACAUUUUUACAAGCUGGUUGCUCUAGUCAUGGAAAAGGGGCCAUCCAUUUAAAUAGCAGAUAUGACUAAGUAGUGAAUAUGACCAACAACAUUGACCAGUAAACAUUUGUCUACCCAUAUGUCUAAGUAGCAAAUAUGUCCCAGUACUGAUAAUAAUCAGUUAUGAUAAUAUGGACCUUUGAGCAGCUAUCUGUUAGCUACUAGGAAUCAACAAUGAUAAAGACAUGCCUUGUCCUGUAUAUGCCCUCAUCUUAGUAUCCUGUCACCGUCUACCAGACACCCAUAAUCUGUGUGAGACACAGCGGAGAAACCACACAUGAUGAUACUGAGGGUACAGGUAGAGGUCAUCUGCAUGUGGUCCCUGGUACAGGGAGAGGCCAUCUGCAUGUGGUCCCUGGUACAGGGAGAGGUCAUAUGCAUCUGGUCCCUGGUACAGGGAGAGGUCAUCUACAUGUGGUCCCUGGUACAGGGAGAGGUCAUAUGCAUCUGGUCCCUGGUACAGGGAGAGGUCAUCUACAUGUGGUCCCUGGUACAGGGAGAGGUCAUAUGCAUCUGGUCCCUGGUACAGGGAGAGGUCAUCUGCAUGUGGUCCCUGGUACAGGGAGAGGUCAUAUGCAUCUGGUCCCUGGUAUAGGGAGAGGUCAUCUGCAUGUGGUCCCUGGUACAGGGAGAGGUCAUAUGCAUCUGGUCCCUGGUACAGGGAGAGGUCAUCUGCAUGUGGUCCCUGGUACAGGGAGAGGUCAUCUGCAUGUGGUCCCUGGUACAGGGAGAGGUCAUCUACAUGUGGUCCCUGGUACAGGGAGAGGUCAUCUACAUGUGGUCCCUGGUACAGGGAGAGGUCAUCUACAUGUGGUCCCUGGUACAGGGAGAGGUCAUAUGCAUCUGGUCCCUGGUACAGGGAGAGGUCAUCUACAUGUGGUCCCUAGUACAGGGAGAGGUCAUCUGCAUGUGGUCCCUGGUACAGGGAGAGGUCAUAUGCAUCUGGUCCCUGGUACAGGGAGAGGUCAUCUACAUGUGGUCCCUGGUACAGGGAGAGGUCAUCUACAUGUGGUCCCUGGUACAGGGAGAGGUCAUCUGCAUGUGGUCCCCGGUACAGGGAGAGGUCAUCUGCAUGUGGUCCCUGGUACAGGGAGAGGUCAUCUGCAUGUGGUCCCUGGUACAGGGAGAGGCCAUCUGCAUGUGGUCCCUGGUACAGGGAGAGGUCAUCUACAUGUGGUCCCUGGUACAGGGAGAGGUCAUCUACAUGUGUUCCCUGGUACAGGGAGAGGCCAUUGGUGGGCCCGCUCACUACAGUACAGCAAGAUAUCUAUGUUUCUUUUCACUUUCUUGUUAAUCAGUUUGUUCUCAUACAUCGGAUGUCAAUAAAUUGUACUGUCAGUGACGUUUGUGUAAAUUAUUUGAUGAAAUUAUGCAUAUAACAUUUUGUUACAUUGCUAUGCUCUUUUAUGUUUUUUUAGUGUUUUUUUAAUUGUGCACAAAGUCAUAUCAUUUCUUCCAUUUGUUUCCUAGUUGUUUUGUUCGGGGAAACAAUUUCAAUUGUUUUGUUAUCCAUCUGUUUAUGUUGCCAUGGGACCAAGAUUUGUUAGGUGUUUUCACAUGGUAAAGAGGCUUUAUUUGAAAUAUUCCACACUUUUUUUAAUGUAAAAGCUUCGACUUAACAAAUUAUGUUGAAAACUCUGAAUUUAAUUUCAAUAUUAUUUUCAAGCUUUAAGCAUGAAAAUAAUGUAACAGGGACUAAAUGGAGUUGUUUUACGAACAUGUAAUGUUUUAUGUUUCUUGGGUUAAGCCCCUUUUUCUAAUAUCAUGGUCGGUAUUUUAUGCCGACAGUGAAGUCCCACAUUCUGUACCCAACAUGCAAUGUCAUCCUGACCAACACUGACGAGUAGCUCUGUCAUGGAAGAAAAUGCCUGUUCUUGAGAGUAGUUUAUCACUUCUGUUAUAUGUCCUUGACUCAGCAUCAGCCCUGUGGGUUCCUUGUUAGAACAGGUCCCCAGCAACCUAUACUUGUCAUAAGAGGUGACUAAGGGAUCAGGCGGUUGAUGUGGUAGAUUGUGUGUCAUCAUGCCUCCACGUUGGGCCUUGCUCAUAACAUCGAUCUCUGGUUUGUCUGGUCAGACCUAGUUUAGUUAUUCAUAGGCUGCUCUGAUAUUGCUGAUAUAUUUCUGACUGUGGCAUUUGUCCUCAAGUAAACCCAAUGCAUAAUCACCAUCCAGGGCUUGUAAGAAAACUGCAUGUCAGCAAUACAGAGUUGGGGCAAAUGGGAUGAUCGUGGUCAUCGUUGGUAUCCUUGAUGGCUGAGGGGUGGCCAAGCAGAUCAAGUUGACUUCCUUCAACUUGGAUGUACUUGGGAAAAGAACCAAUUGAUGACCAUGACUGUGGCUUGGAGUGACACCCUCACUAUCGACCAUUGGUUUGCCAGACAGGUUGCCAUGUUAGGUUAACAUAGGUCCGACUGCAGUGACCUACAUUCACUGGUAUGCAACUUGUCUGCAUUUUAUAGUUAAGGACUGGAACUGCUUAUAUUUGUCCGUUCUUGUUAAGUUGUCUGGAGAAUAUCAUAUUAGGGGCAUGUACUUUGUAUGUUCUGGCACUGUUGGGAUCAAAUUGGGGGCGUGUACUUUGUAUGUUCUGGCACUGUUGGGAUCUUAUUGGGGGCAUGUACUUUGUAUGUUCCGGCACUGUUGGGAUAAAGUUAGGGGCGUGUACUUUGUAUGUUCUUGCACUGUUGGGAUCUUAUUGGGGGCAUGUACUUUGUAUGUUCCGGCACUGUUGGGAUAAAGUUAGGGGCGUGUACUUUGUAUGUUCUGGCACUGUUGGGAUCAUAUUGGGGGCAUGUACUUUGUAUGUUCCGGCACUGUUGGGAUCAUAUUGGGGGCGUGUACUUUGUAUGUUCCGGCAGUGAGAGGCUCAUAUUGAGGACGUGUACUUUGAAUGUUCCGGCAGUGUGAGGAUCGUAUUGAGGACGUGUACUUUGUGUGUUCCGGCAGUGAGAGGAUCAUAUUGAGGACAUGUACUUUGUAUGUUCCGGCAGUGUGAGGAUCUUAUUGAGGACAUGUACUUUGUGUGUUCCGGCAGUGUGAGGAUCAUAUUGAGGACAUGUACUUUGUAUGUUCCCGCAGUGUGAGGAUCAUAUUGAGGACAUGUACUUUGUGCGUUCCGGCAGUGUGAGGAUCAUAUUGAGGACAUGUACUUUGUAUGUUCCCGCAGUGUGAGGAUCAUAUUGAGGACAUGUACUUUGUAUGUUCCCGCAGUGUGAGGAUCAUAUUGAGGACAUGUACUUUGUACGUUCCGUCAGUGUGAGGAUCAUAUUGAGGACGUGUACUUUGUAUGUUCCGGCAGUGAGAGGAUCAUAUUGAGGACGUGUACUUUGUAUGUUCCGGCAGUGUGAGGAUAAUAUUGAGGACGUGUACUUUGUAUGUUCCGGAAGUGAGAGGAUCAUAUUGAGGACGUGUACUUUGUACGUUCCGGCAGUGUGAGGAUCAUAUUGAGGACGUGUACUUUGUAUGUUCCGGAAGUGAGAGGAUCAUAUUGAGGACGUGUACUUUGUAUGUUCCGGCAGUGAGAGGAUCAUAUUGAGGACGUGUACUUUGUACGUUCCGGCAGUGAGAGGAUCAUAUUGAGGACGUGUACUUUGUACGUUCCGGCACUGUGAGGAUCAUAUGAGAGGUGUGUUUAUUCCGGGACUUGAGGAUCAUAUCAGGUGUGAGGAUCAUAUUUGGGGGUUUGUACAUUCUGGCACUGUGAGGGUCAUAUUUAGUGUGUACAGGAUUGUCUCUGCACUAUGAAGAUCAUAUCACGAUGUAUCAGUUGCUUGUCCUGACAGUACACUAUGUUUAUGUCCCAUCAUGCUCCUCCUGACUGCUGUUAGCCGUUUAUUGUAACAUUCUCAAAUUUACAAGUGAUUUUUUUCUGAGAUAUGGCAAUAAAAUGAAUUAUUUUCAAAA